Molecule: transfer RNA, 69 nt
Filed under: Ictidomys tridecemlineatus (thirteen-lined ground squirrel)
Lineage: Eukaryota; Metazoa; Chordata; Mammalia; Rodentia; Sciuridae
Description: Spermophilus tridecemlineatus (thirteen-lined ground squirrel) tRNA
Rfam family: tRNA
About the family: Transfer RNA (tRNA) molecules are approximately 80 nucleotides in length. Their secondary structure includes four short double-helical elements and three loops (D, anti-codon, and T loops).
Source: Rfam by way of RNAcentral
AAGGGCUUAGCUUAAUAAAAGUAUUUGAUUUGCACUCAGUUGAUAUAAGACAAAGUCUUGCAGUCCUUA